Long non-coding RNA from Oryza sativa Japonica Group (Japanese rice), 3094 nucleotides. RefSeq lists it as uncharacterized. Lineage: Eukaryota; Viridiplantae; Streptophyta; Magnoliopsida; Poales; Poaceae. The record is from RefSeq and is a predicted model, not a curated record.
AGACCAUUGAUCCCCUCCUCCCCAAGCAGCCACAGACACAGCCACCACACUAGCUUUGGACACCUCUACCUAGCUCCAUCUGCAACCAUAUGCAUCUCCACCCUCUCCAUUUGGAACCAGAAAACCAUGGCUUCUCCUGCAUGCUCACUACUCAUCCCUACACAGAAAGCUCUAGCUGCUGCUAGUUUCAUUCUAGUAAUGAUACAAAUAUCAAGAGAAAAAGUGAGAGUCAAAUAGAGGUGUGAGGUGAGGAAGAUGCUGCAGGUAGAAGAAGCUGAGAGAAAGAUAUGAUCAAGCAAGCAAGCAAGCAAGCAAAAGUUAUCUAGCUAAAGAGGGAGCCUUUUCAUUUUGAGGGGAAUGUUGUCUGGCUCGGGGCUACUUUUAAUUUCUCUCUCUUUUGAUAUCUUCUUUUCUCGAUCUCCUAGCUUGAUCUUUUGAUCUCUCAAAUCGAUCUUAAGAAAAAGAUCAGUCAAAGAGAUGAGAGUAGAUGUCUGUAGAUCUCGGACCAGGCUUCAUUCCCCCCAAACAGAAGGGCUCCCAUGCAUAUCGAUCAUGAGCUAGCUUAUUACCCCCUGCUUUUGCCUCUUCCAAAUCUGAUGAACUGGGUAAGUUAACUGAAUAUUGCUUAACUAAUCAGCUUUUUGUUUCAUCUGAUGGAUAGAUAGGAGGAGUAGAUCUUGGUGGCAUGAACUGCAUGAGAUGCAGAUUGGUGUAAUGAUGGGGGGAAAGACUGCAUGACUGUACAAUUGCACACUUAUCAGAGCUACUUGGGAUCUCUUCUCUUCUCUUCUCUCUCUGCAAUAAUUAGCCUUUGAUGAGAUGAAGGGUGAUGAGGAAAAGGCUGUCAUCAUUAAAGGCCUUUGUUCCAUGCAGAUCCUAUCCUUCAUGGUUGGAACUAGCUAGUCUGUAUUCAUCAGUUUUUGGUGAUCUAUUUUUCAUCUUCGUUUUUCUUCAUGUUCUACCUUGCCUGGUAGGAUAAUGAAACAUGAAGUACAUAUAUCAUGCUCUGUAGUACACUCCGGGAGAAAUAUAUGGAUAUUUACUUCCUGUUAAUUUGUUGCUUGGAGUAGAUCUAGAGAGAAAAACCAACUCUUUGCACUGUGCGUGGAUUCUUUACCUUUUUCUCCUUCAAUUUUUGUCUCUCUCCAAAUAAUGUUGCAUUGGGACAUAUUAAUUUGAUUCCAGUUUAAGGGAAUUAAUAGGUAGCUAGCAGAUUUCCAUUUAUACUUUGGUCACUGAGGUUAAUUAAUUAAUUGCCUAUAAAUUGUUCCGAUAACUGAUUCACACUGUUCAAGAGAAAAGGCAAGCUAGAUUCAUAUUCUUCAGAGUAAUGCUCCGGUGCAAUCUACUUGCAGUAUUCUACUCCAAGUAGAAUAAUCUUGACCGUUUAUUUUAAAGAGCAGGUAAGUAAUCUCCUAAUAUCGUUUAGGGGUAAUUUUGGCAUGGGAUGUUUUCUUCUGUUCGCAUCGUAUCAGGUCUGAACUCCGUUGCACGCAGUCACCUCGCUAUUCCUCCCCCGGCCUAGCCGCCUUGUCCGCCCCCUCCGUCGCCAUCCGUAUUCCCCGCCGUCGCCGCCUUGUCCGCUUCCUCAGUCGCAUCGUCCGUCUGGGAGCGGACGAGUGUGGUGGCGUCCGAGCAAGUGACGAUCUUGAGCAGGAGUUCUGGCGGUAGUAAAAAUUCCAGCCUAGGCUUCGGCGGCAGCGUCACGCACGCACGCAAUGUCAUUUGCUUGGCAGCGUCGUCUCGGCUCAUUCGUCUUCUUGCCGUUUCCGAUCACUGUGUUGUUUCAUGGAUUACAUGGAUCGAUUAAGAUCUUGCACGACCAACUCCGACGAGGAUGACAUGGUGAUCGAUCUAUGGAUCGGAAAACAAUAAUACCCCUUCGCGAAUUAUUUUUCCUAGACAAAAACACCCCUCCACAUUUCACUUCCACUAAUUCUGGUAGGAGUAAAACUAGAUCUUAACCCUACAAUUAAAUAUGAUCAAGGGCCUAGAUUACUUUUUACUCCGAGUAGAAAGCACCAGAGUAGGACUCUAUUCUUCAUUCAUGGUCAAAUCAUGACAAGGGUUUGAGAUCAGCAGAGCAGAUAUAUCUUUAUUAAUUUUUGGUGGUAACUAUAUAUAAUUUCAGCUAAACCGGCCAAGUAGUUAAUUACUGUGCCUUUUUUUUUCUCUUCUGUUUACUUUAUGAUCCAGUAGCUACCAUAAAUGCUGUAGAAAGAAUAUACUGCAAAGGGCACGUAGAUUUUUACCUUCUAAUAAAUGAAAUGGAACUGCGGGAAACUAUUCUAAACUCUCGAGUGGAUGUCUUCUCGUUGUGCAUAUAUACGAGAUCAUGAUCUUACCAAACAAUAACAAGUUCAUAUAUAAGAUGUGCAUUUCUAUGACAAUAUAUAUACUACAUAUUGAUUUUUUAUAUUAAUUUGCAAGCUACAUUCAUGCUGAUCAUGAUGAUGAGAUUUAAUUUUGUUCAUUCAAUUCUUAGAACACUAAUCAAAAGUAAACAUCGGACUUUUGAUUAAUCUGAAAACUUAAAUAUUAUCGAUAUAGCUACAGUAUAUGUUUGUCAGGGCACUAGCUAGCUGAUUCUCGAUCAGCUAGCUGCAGGGGAGUAUAUUUGACACCAGUGCAUUGGUGUUGGUGUAAACCUUGUUGUUAUGUAUCAACUCUGAGUUGUUUCCUGUUUGAAGCCUUGAGCUCUAGCUUCCCCAUACAGUACUACACCCAUUAUUUUUUGUGUCGAGAUGCUCAUACAUUGAGUUAUGUAGUGCGUGCUGCAUGUACAAAAUGGUGUUUCCAGUGAUCCCAAAUCCCUAAAGAUUCUCUUGUUAUGUUGUACAUUGUCUUUGAUUGCUAUAGUAGCUCUUAAGUUUUAAUUACUCCUUUUUUAUAAUUCUUUCAGGAUCUCUCAUGUUCAAAUGUUUUCAGAAAAAGGAACCUCCCUUUUGCCUCUCUGUUGGCAGUUUUGCUCUCCUUUUUUUCUUCAGACUGUUAGCUGUACUAGUGAACAUGUAUAUAGUUCUUCAUAAAAAAAAAGGUAAUCCCUUUUGUAGCUAUUGCAAUAUAAUAUGAAUCAGGAGUGGUGUUUUAAUUA